Non-coding RNA from Taeniopygia guttata (zebra finch), 319 nucleotides. Lineage: Eukaryota; Metazoa; Chordata; Aves; Passeriformes; Estrildidae. The record is from RefSeq and is a predicted model, not a curated record.
UUGUGGGUUCUUUACCAACUCAAGGCAUUCCAGUAUACUCUAUUGGUGUUUGCAGAUUGCUGCUUAUCAGGUUACAUCAGCUCGUGCUUUGCCACGCCACACAGCAGAUCCUACAAGGUGUAGUGUUGAUGGAUGGGAACAGCCCCUUGAGGCUCAGCUCAUGGAUGCCCUGGUGAAUGUGCUGUCCUAAGCUUUGGGAGAUUUCUCAUCUGAACAGACUUCAAGAUGGAUGGAGCAGUGACAAGUGCCUGCCUUCAGGGAUGCUGGAUUAUAAUUUAGGGGCCUGCUUGGUUCUCAGAGUCUCCAGACUCUGCAGUCA